RNAcentral lists this long non-coding RNA (291 nucleotides) under Brassica napus (rape). RNAcentral's name for it is "long non-coding RNA (BNAP_LNC007649)". The record is from RNAcentral. Lineage: Eukaryota; Viridiplantae; Streptophyta; Magnoliopsida; Brassicales; Brassicaceae.
CUAUAUAAAUAAGGUGGACUUGACCAAAGACCAAAACUUUUGACCAAAUUUUGAAAGUUCUGGACGCAAGACUCUUCGGCUGGCCGCAUACUUCUGCAUUGUCGACGGUCUUUGAAUUCCCGUCAGAUUUAUAUAGUGUACGACCAUGACUUGUAUUUUCUUGUUGGGCCUUUUUUUUUGGACUGAAACAUAUUUUCAUAAAUCAUCAAGCCCAUCUCACUUAGAUUCAAGCCAAUAAGCCAAGCCUUCUUUUGAUUUGUUUGUUGCUGAUCAUGGUUACAUCAUCCCCUC